GCGGGAAUAACUCAGUGGUAGAGUACUAGCUUCCCAAGCUGGGAGUCGCGGGUUCAAAUCCCGUUUCCCGCU
Non-coding RNA from Spirochaetes bacterium GWF1_49_6, 72 nucleotides. The record is from Rfam. NCBI's taxonomy places the organism in Bacteria, Pseudomonadati, Spirochaetota.